This 487-nucleotide ribosomal RNA is filed under the name uncultured bacterium. RNAcentral describes it as "partial 16S ribosomal RNA". It matches the Rfam family "Bacterial small subunit ribosomal RNA", at positions 28 to 508 of the family's 1533-position model. The record is from RNAcentral.
GAUGAACGCUGGCGGCGUGCCUAAUACAUGCAAGUCGAACGCUGGAAAUCUAGCUUGCUAGAUUGAAGGAGUGGCGAACGGGUGAGUAAUACAUAAGCAACCUACCCACGAAGACUGGGAUAAUCUCUGGAAACGGGGACUAAUACCGGAUAGGUAAUCGGAAGGCAUCUUCUGAUUAUUAAAGGUUAAAAACACUGGUGGAUGGGCUUAUGGCGCAUUAGUUAGUUGGUGAGGUAACGGCCCACCAAGACGAUGAUGCGUAGCCGGCCUGAGAGGGUGAACGGCCACAUUGGGACUGAGACACGGCCCAGACUCCUACGGGAGGCAGCAGUAGGGAAUUUUCGGCAAUGGGGGAAACCCUGACCGAGCAACGCCGCGUGAGUGAUGACGGCCUUCGGGUUGUAAAGCUCUGUUGUAAGGGAAGAACGGUAGAUAGAGAAUAUCUAAAUGACGGUACCUUACCAGAAAGCCACGGCUAACUACGUGC